GACGAACGCUGGCGGCGUGCUUAACACAUGCAAGUCGAACGGAAAGGCCCUGCUUGCCGGGUGCUCGAGUGGCGAACGGGUGAGUAACACGUGGGUGAUCUGCCCCUUACUUUGGGAUAAGCCUGGGAAACUGGGUCUAAUACUGGAUAGGACCAUGCUGUAGGUGGUGUGGUGGAAAGAUUAGUUUCGGUAAGGGAUGAGCUCGCGGCCUAUCAGCUUGUUGGUGGGGUAAUGGCCUACCAAGGCGUCGACGGGUAGCCGGCCUGAGAGGGUGGACGGCCACAUUGGGACUGCGAUACGGCGCAGACUCCUGCGGGAGGCAGCAGUGGGGAAGAUUGCACAAUGGGCGCAAGCCGGAUGCAGCGACGCCGCGUGGGGGAUGACGGCCUUCGGGUUGUAAACUCCUUUCAGCCAUGACGAAGCCCUUGUGGCGACGGUAGUGGUAGAAGAAGCACCGGCUAACUACGUG
Molecule: ribosomal RNA, 469 nt
Filed under: uncultured bacterium
Lineage: Bacteria
Description: partial 16S ribosomal RNA
Rfam family: Bacterial small subunit ribosomal RNA
Source: RNAcentral